RNAcentral lists this ribosomal RNA (431 nucleotides) under uncultured Bacteroidales bacterium. RNAcentral describes it as "bacterial SSU rRNA". It matches the Rfam family "Bacterial small subunit ribosomal RNA", at positions 70 to 491 of the family's 1533-position model. Lineage: Bacteria; Pseudomonadati; Bacteroidota; Bacteroidia; Bacteroidales. The record is from RNAcentral.
CAUCAGGAAGAAAGCUUGCUUUCUUUGCUGGCGACCGGCGCACGGGUGAGUAACACGUAUCCAACCUGCCCUUUACUCGGGGAUAGCCUUUCGAAAGAAAGAUUAAUACCCGAUAGUAUAAUGAUUCCGCAUGGUUUCAUUAUUAAAGGAUUCCGGUAAAGGAUGGGGAUGCGUUCCAUUAGGUUGUUGGUGAGGUAACGGCUCGCCAAGCCUUCGAUGGAUAGGGGUUCUGAGAGGAAGGUCCCCCACAUUGGAACUGAGACACGGUCCAAACUCCUACGGGAGGCAGCAGUGAGGAAUAUUGGUCAAUGGGCGUUAGCCUGAACCAGCCAAGUAGCGUGAAGGAUGAAGGCUCUAUGGGUCGUAAACUUCUUUUAUAUAAGAAUAAAGUGCAGUAUGUAUACUGUUUUGUAUGUAUUAUAUGAAUAAGG